Small nucleolar RNA from Megalops cyprinoides (Indo-Pacific tarpon), 83 nucleotides. RefSeq annotates it as small nucleolar RNA snR60/Z15/Z230/Z193/J17. Lineage: Eukaryota; Metazoa; Chordata; Actinopteri; Elopiformes; Megalopidae. The transcript has a single exon. The record is from RefSeq and is a predicted model, not a curated record.
AGGGAUACUAUGAUGACUGCAUAGUUCAGCGGAUAUUCCAUGAAGAACAAACAUUGUCUUUCGCUCCUAGCUGACGUAUCCUC